Molecule: long non-coding RNA, 354 nt
Organism: Anguilla anguilla (European eel)
Lineage: Eukaryota; Metazoa; Chordata; Actinopteri; Anguilliformes; Anguillidae
Exons: 2
Source: RefSeq, a predicted model, not a curated record
GACAGGAUGAAAUAAAUCUUUUUUUUUUUUUGUUUGUUUGUUUUUUUGUUUUUAUUAAUGGAAAUGUGAGUUCUAGAAACCGAGGGAUAAAAUGUUUCAGACGGAGAACUGGAGGGAAACUGUUACUGUGUGUCUUCAUUACGAUCAAACCCUCGGAGACAAGCCGUAACAUACAUAACACACUCAUCCCUUGGGUUUGAUGUGGGAAGAAUCCAGCUGGGUUUGAGGCUGGAAUGAUGGGUAGAAGAACGCCGGUAGUCACAUGACCCUUGGAAUGCACUGCAUCCAAUGUACUUUCGGUCUUGUAACAGCAGUGCCUUUUACUGUCUUUAUUUGACUAUUUAAAAAAAAAAA